CAAUUUUCUCUCAGCAGCAGUUUGUAUCUUCUUCCUGAUCCUGAAACAGUUCUUUGCGCUGUUGAUAAUAGGACCUGUAACUGGUCUGAAAAGGCUCAGAGUGUCUUUCCUGACUUUCCUGUGCUCUUCCAGAUCAAUGCUAAGCUCCGUAGACUUUCCAAUUGUUUGCGGCUGAAACUAGUGGGUGUAUCAAACAAACCCUAAAAUGGGCCCAGAAAAACUCACCAGCUGUUAUCAAUCAAAAUCACUCAGAAGAUGUUAAGUGGCAAGACAAUUUGUUUGACACAAUUUUUUGGGGUCUCCAAAAUUGAUAGUUCAAGGUGCUGUAUGUCUAUUUUUGACCCAGCAGAUAACAUUUUCAGAAGACCUAUAAUACAUUCAUUAUUGAACCACACUUGAAUGUUUUGGUGACAAAGUAAUAUGUGUUCAACUCAUUCCAUCACAGAAAAAUGAGAGUUGUAGAAAUCACUGGAACUCAAGAAUGAUAUACAUGCUCUUUACAAGUGUAUGUAAACUUUUGACCAUGACUGCACUAUGAGUUUAUGAGUCUGUGGAUCAGACGUCACAGUACAGGCUGAAGGCAGGAAAUAUAUCAUUUUCAAAUGAUUUGAGAAAUAAUUUACAUUUCUGAGGUUUUCUCUACUAGCUUUGUUUUCUUCAUGAAUGUGUUGUCAGUAUUUUCACUCACAUGGGUCUCAGCUGCUUCACGCAAAAAUGAACACACAAUGGACAUUUCUAACCUCGGCAUCAUAGUUUCCUUUGUAACAUGAUCAACAAUCUACCCUCUAUUGUAAAAAAGAAAGGAGGGGGCAGACAAUGCUGUCAGACCUGCCUGCUGCAUGCACUAUGCUGGCUGUAUUUCCCUUCAGAUGUAAGAUAACAUGAUACUGGCUAUAAGUGGAGAUGUGAUAAACACAGGUUUAGCAGGCAGCUGUUUCCUGAGCCUCUGCCAUUCAGUUCAAACUCACCAACAAUACAGCUAAUUUACUGCCAGUGACAGACUGACGACUGCUUAGGAUUAGCUGAAUGCAGAGCUGAAUCAACCUCCUGACAGACGACAGCUGGGGAUAAUUAGUCUGUUUUAAUUUAUCCAAACAAAUUAAUAGAUUUUCUGCGUGUUUCCUGACAUCCUUGCUUUAUGAAGAAAACACACCAUGAGAAGUAAAGGAAAGAAGUGAGGAACAGAAAUGAAAGAGACAAUCUGUGUGUCUUCAUGCUGAGUAGUGAUGUCACUCUGCCUUCUGCAGCCUCUCAGCGGAAGCGUGAAGGCUUAUACCUGUUGACGCUGUCAUGUGCUGCCUGCACACUGAUGUCUAUCUGCAGGACGGUCUUGUAAUCCACGUAGGCCUUACGGUAGCGCUCCAGGGACUCAUAAGCCAUGGCCCGGCGCAGGAGGGGUUUGAGUGAGAAUGGCUGCAGCUCCAGGGCUCUGGAUGGUAUAAAUAGACGAGUUGGACCUUGAGCAAACAUCUUUAAAUACCAAGUAUUUCAAGGCUUUCACAUGGAUUUCGUGAUAUUCUUUGGCGUUUGAUGUCUUCUCCUGAUUUAAAGGCUUCAUUACAGUACAAGGAUGACAUUUUCUGAACCUAACAGACUGUUGUACUUGUGGUCAUUUACAAUUAUGAAAUUCUUAUUUAAGUUAACUAUAAUAGUACACUGAUAUCAUUUUAGUAAAUAAUACAUUUCAUUAUCAGAAGUGGUGAUAACCACAAUUGAUAUUGGCCGAUGUAUCAAUAUCUAGUUUUUUUACUCCCUAACACUGGUAUCAACAAUGGUUCCAAAAAAUCAGUUGGGCUCUUGUAAUAAGGCUUCAAAUAACUUCUUGGCUGGCCUUGGUGAGGCUUUAACAAGAGCAAGUCUGUAUUUGCUAAAGCUUCAAUUAAAAGUUUAGUGUCUGUCAAAUAUUACCUUUUUUGCUGUGAAUGUGUGUGUAGCAAUGAUGGGGUGCUCUGCUGACUAAAUUAAGAACUUGUACUGUUGCAACAUCAUGGGAACGUUGAGUUUCAAAACCACUUAAUUGUAAAGCAUUUUAUUUACCUCACACAGAUGAAUACAUGAUUACUUUAAAUCUUUAUUGGAACAAGCAACAAUCGUUUGUGCUUGUAUGUUCAUUGAUCUUCUAAUUUGAGUAACUUGAAUAUUUUUAACUGAAACUUGUAAUAAUCUGGACUCCAUACAGGAUAAUACAAGUUCCUUAAACUCUUUGUUGAGACCUAGAGCAGGAAGAAGGCCUACCUUGUCUUCCACUAAUACAUCCUACUAUUACACAGUACCAUGGCGAGUUCCAGGGCUGACAAGUUAGAAAGACACAAGGUAGAUGAGGACCAAGUAAAAGUGCAUCAAACCACUUAUGGCACUUAACCACAUAGCACACAGUGUAUUGGUUAUUCUGUCCACUUUCCUAACAGGUAUUCCACUCAGUUUCAACCACCAAUAUUAUCACUGACACAGUCAAAUCAGAUAGGCAUAUCAUGAAUAUUACAGCCAUAGCGACACUAAGUACAGUCAGCUUAGCAUGCCACCUCAUCAGAUGAAAUCAGAUUAUGGAUGAUGACACAGUGAGGCAGUGAUGAUGAUGAUGUCUCAGCAACUGCUCACACAAAGUGAGGAUACUGUGACAGUAGAGCAUGUACACUAUGUUAAAGGUAUAAACUAGGGCAUUUAUAUACUGACCAAUACACGACUUUAAGACCCUGUAAAAGACCAUUAUUGUUAGUUUUGUUUUGGAAGUGUCCUUUUAUGACAGUCCACUGUGACACUGUGUGUUUAAGAGGUUUAAAGGGGCUUAUACAAUAUAUUAUCAUUUCUGCACUUAGCUCCAGUCUGUCUGCAUUACAUGUUCCCUACGUCUGUCAGACGAUGAUGCCUAUGUCCAGUCAUAUUCACAUCCAGUAGUACACUGGCUAGUGAGUACAUUAAGGCAGAGAGUGUAUGUUUGAUGGUGGAUGGGCCGAACAUGCAGCACUCUCUCUCCCUCCAUCAAUCGCUCACUUUCUCCCUCUCUGUGAGAUUUAUAGCUGCAGUCCCACAGAUUCAAUUUCACAGUGAGUGGUUAGUGGUCACGUGACCCGGACAGACCUGAGCUGAGAGGCUUAGCGCCGGGUUGAGGCUAAAACAGAAACACUGUCCACAACAGCCACAUUGUGACGCAUUGCUGUAGGGUCAAGUCUCUAAAUAUACCAACAAACAGCCCAACAUUUGAACUCCUGAAAAAUGACAUAUUUGUUACUGUUAUUAAAUUCUAUGUGCACUACUGUGGACUGCUUCUGCGAUAAAUAAUAAUACUUCUGUUGAUUAGGUAUCAUUUAUCUUAUGGAGAAUUUCCUUUUUGGUGCACUGUGUUAAAUAACACACCAAAUAAAUAGGAGCCCUAGCAUUAUAACUGCAAGGUCAUGGCCUUUCAUUUACAAAUACAAUGGCAAGGUAGAAGAAACAGCUCUAUAAGAUUUGGCAAUUAAACACCAUAAAACAAAUUUCAUUCAAAUAUAGGUGUGACUGGUGAUGGAACAUCAGUCAGUUAAACUAUGGGCUACAAGUUACAGCAUGUUUAUAACACACUGAUGUGAAGUAGAAUGUUCUUUUUACUGUCAUGGAGGCACAUCAAUACCUUCUUCCCAAUGUCAUACACAAACUAAAACCUUACACACUUAAUGACUAAGCUACCACCAGCCACCUCAGACUAUAAUAACAAGAAUAGCACCUACUGUAAGGACUCUUCC
Long non-coding RNA from Acanthopagrus latus (yellowfin seabream), 3719 nucleotides. RefSeq lists it as uncharacterized. NCBI's taxonomy places the organism in Eukaryota, Metazoa, Chordata, Actinopteri, Spariformes, Sparidae. The transcript is spliced from 4 exons. The record is from RefSeq and is a predicted model, not a curated record.